AUUGAACGCUGGCGGCAUGCUUUACACAUGCAAGUCGAACGGCAGCACGGGGGCAACCCUGGUGGCGAGUGGCGAACGGGUGAGUAAUAUAUCGGAACGUGCCCUAGAGUGGGGGACAACCAGUCGAAAGAUUGGCUAAUACCGCAUACGAUCUCUGGAUGAAAGUGGGGGACCGCAAGGCCUCACGCUCCUGGAGCGGCCGAUAUCUGAUUAGCUAGUUGGUGGGGUAAAGGCCUACCAAGGCGACGAUCAGUAGCUGGUCUGAGAGGACGGUCAGCCACACGGGGACUGAGACACGACCCAGACUCCUACGGGAGGCAGCAGUGGGGAAUUUUGGACAAUGGGGGCAACCCUGAUCCAGCAAUGCCGCGUGAGUGAAGAAGGCCUUCGGGUUGUAAAGCUCUUUUGUCAGGGAAGAAACGGUGGGGGUUAAUACCCUCUGCUAAUGACGGUACCUGAAGAAUAAGCACCGGCUAACUACGUGCCAGCAGCCGCGGUAA
RNAcentral lists this ribosomal RNA (500 nucleotides) under uncultured bacterium. RNAcentral describes it as "partial 16S ribosomal RNA". It matches the Rfam family "Bacterial small subunit ribosomal RNA", at positions 30 to 523 of the family's 1533-position model. The record is from RNAcentral.